Molecule: ribosomal RNA, 1029 nt
Filed under: uncultured Alphaproteobacteria bacterium
Lineage: Bacteria; Pseudomonadati; Pseudomonadota; Alphaproteobacteria
Description: bacterial SSU rRNA
Rfam family: Bacterial small subunit ribosomal RNA
Source: RNAcentral
CAUGCAGUCGACGAAGUAGCAAUACUUAGUGGCAAACGGGUGAGUAACAUGUGGGUAUCUGCCCUUCGGCCUGGAAUAACACGGGGAAACUUGUGCUAAUACCAGAUAAGUCUUUUAAGAGAAAGCUUUAUGCACCGAUGGAUGAGCCCGCACCUGAUUAGUUAGUUGGUGAGGUAAUAGCUCACCAAGACAAUGAUCAGUAGCUGAUUUGAGAGGAUGAUCAGCCACAUUGGGACUGAGACACGGCCCAAACUCCUACGGGAGGCAGCAGUGGGGAAUCUUGCACAAUGGGGGAAACCCUGAUGCAGCGAUGCCGCGUGAGUGAAGAAGGCCUUUGGGUUGUAAAGCUCUUUCGUCGGGGAAGAAAAUGACUGUACCCGAAUAAGAAGGUCCGGCUAACUUCGUGCCAGCAGCCGCGGUAAUACGAAGGGACCUAGCGUAGUUCGGAAUUACUGGGCUUAAAGAGUUCGUAGGUGGUUAAAAUAGUUGGUGGUGAAAUCCCAGAGCUUAACUCUGGAACUGCCAUCAAAACUUUUUAGCUAGAGUAUGAUAGAGGAAAGUAGAAUUUCUAGUGUAGAGGUGAAAUUCGUAGAUAUUAGAAAGAAUACCAAUUGCGAAGGCAGCUUUCUGGGCCAUUACUGACACUGAGGAACGAAAGCAUGGGUAGCGAAGAGGAUUAGAUACCCUCGUAGUCCAUGCCGUAAACGAUGUGUGCUAGACGUUGGAAAAUAUUUAUAUAUCAGUGUCGCAGCAAAAGCGAUAAGCACACCGCCUGGGGGAGUACGACCGCAAGGUUAAAACUCAAUGAAAUUGACGGGGACCCGCACAAGUAGUGGAGCAUGUGGUAUUAAUACGGAAGAUACGCGCAGGAGCCUUUACCCACACUAUGACAUGUAUCGUCGCAGCUCUAAGAGAUUAGAGUAUAUCGGUUCCGGCCGACGAAACACAGUGCUUGCAUGCCUGUCGUCAGCUCGUGUCGUGAGAUGGUAUGGGCUUAAGAUCCGCAACGAGCGCAGCCCUCACUAUUAG